This 478-nucleotide ribosomal RNA is filed under the name uncultured bacterium. RNAcentral describes it as "SSU rRNA". It matches the Rfam family "Bacterial small subunit ribosomal RNA", at positions 26 to 523 of the family's 1533-position model. The record is from RNAcentral.
AGAACGAACGCUGGCGGCAUGCCUAACACAUGCAAGUCGAACGAGACCUUCGGGUCUAGUGGCGCACGGGUGCGUAACGCGUGGGAAUCUGCCCUUAGGUACGGAAUAACAGUGAGAAAUUACUGCUAAUACCGUAUGAUGUCUUCGGACCAAAGAUUUAUCGCCUAGGGAUGAGCCCGCGUUGGAUUAGCUAGUUGGUGGGGUAAAGGCCUACCAAGGCGACGAUCCAUAGCUGGUCUGAGAGGAUGAUCAGCCACACUGGGACUGAGACACGGCCCAGACUCCUACGGGAGGCAGCAGUGGGGAAUAUUGGACAAUGGGCGAAAGCCUGAUCCAGCAAUGCCGCGUGAGUGAAGAAGGCCUUCGGGUUGUAAACCGUCUUUUGUCAGGGAAGAAACGGUUCGAUCUAAUACAACGAACUAAUGACGGUACCUGAAAGAAUAAGCACCGGCUAACUACGCGCCAGCAGCCGCGGUAA